Long non-coding RNA from Pteropus alecto (black flying fox), 289 nucleotides. RefSeq lists it as uncharacterized. Lineage: Eukaryota; Metazoa; Chordata; Mammalia; Chiroptera; Pteropodidae. The transcript has 3 exons. The record is from RefSeq and is a predicted model, not a curated record.
GUUAGUGGUUGGGUGAAGGCUUGAGGAACAACCAGUACAAUGGCCUGGAGGAAAGAGGACACAGUCAGGACCAGGAGAACCAUAGCCAUGUUGUUCUAUGGAAAUGUGGAAGAGAGAAGCACAUCCUGUUGCUGAGUGACAUGCUCAUGUCAUUCCUGGGGAAGCAGGUGGCCAAUCAGUAAUAGACAGGGUGCAUAUUACCAUUGAGGACACGUAGAUUCAGAGAGGUCCAGAAGCUUGCCCAGGGUCACCAAGCAGGUGAGUCGCAGAGCUGGGAUUUAAACCUGGG